RNAcentral lists this ribosomal RNA (426 nucleotides) under uncultured bacterium. RNAcentral's name for it is "partial 16S ribosomal RNA". It matches the Rfam family "Bacterial small subunit ribosomal RNA", at positions 354 to 796 of the family's 1533-position model. The record is from RNAcentral.
GUUAGGAAUAUUGGACAAUGGGCGCAAGCCUGAUCCAGCCAUGCCGCGUGAGUGAUGAAGGCCUUCGGGUUGUAAAGCUCUUUAGCCGAUGAUUAUAAUGACUGUAGUCGGAAAAUAAGCCCCGGCUAACUUCGUGCCAGCAGCCGCGGUAAUACGAAGGGGGCGAGCGUUAUUCGGAAUCACUGGGCGUAAAGCGUGCGUAGGCGGCUUUGCAAGUUGGGAGUGAAAGCCCAGGGCUCAACCCUGGAAUUGCUCUCAAAACUGCAAGGCUCGAAUUCGGGAGAGGAUAGCGGAAUUGUCAGUGUAGCAGUGAAAUGCGUAGAUAUUGACAGGAACACCAGUGGCGUAAGCGGCUAUCUGGACCGAUAUUGACGCUGAGGCACGAAAGCGUGGGGAUCAAACAGGAUUAGAUUACCCCGGUAGUCC